This is a long non-coding RNA of Oncorhynchus tshawytscha (Chinook salmon), 890 nucleotides long. The record is from Ensembl. NCBI's taxonomy places the organism in Eukaryota, Metazoa, Chordata, Actinopteri, Salmoniformes, Salmonidae.
CGCUGAACCUUAGGAGACACCCCUCUUCCAUGAGACGCUGAACCUUAGGAGACACCCCUCUUCCAUGAGACGCUGAACCUUAGGCACGGUUACAUUCUACUAUUAAUAUAGGAAUACGUUGUUAUUUAUACUUUUUAUGUGAAAUAACCUCAGCUUUGUAUAGUGGAGGAUUUUAAUGAUAUUUAUUGUAGAUAUAUCCUCUUCUUCUGUAAUACCAACUAGACUCAGAACCCCUCAGUCUGCUCCGAUACAAUCCCUACGCUGUGGUAGGUUGGGGCCACGGCCCAUUUCAGUCUGAUUUAGUCCCCCCAGUCUGAUUUAGUCCCCAGUCUGAUUUAGUCCCCCAGUCUGAUUUAGUUCCCCCAGUCUGAUUUAGUCCCCCCAGUCUGAUUUAGUUCCCCCAGUCUGAUUUAGUCCCCCCAGUCUGAUUUAGUCCCCCCAGUCUGAUUUAUCCCCCCCCAGUCUGAUUUAGUCCCCCCAGUCUGAUUUAGUGCCCCCAGUCUGAUUUAGUCCCCCCCAGUCUGAUUUAUCCCCCCCAGUCUGAUUUAGUCCCCCCCAGUCUGAUUUAGUCCCCCAGUCUGAUUUAGUCCCCCAGUCUGAUUUAGUGCCUGGUCUUAUCCACUCUGUUCUAAUCAGUCCUGCACAGCUUGUGGUGGUGUGAAGUCAGCCAGGAUUAGGACGGAUGUUUUAGGGCAUCUAAAUAGUCAAGACAUCUCUCCUCUCCUCCAUCUUCACUGACGUGAAAAAGCUGGACAGGUGCAAGCUAAGUAAAGCCAUUUUGUUUUCACUUAAGUCUGUGUUCUCAGAUCAGUUCAGAUUAAGACUAGGAGAGGAGACUAGGAGAGAGGAAGCCACAACAGCCUAAGUAGAUGCACCCUUGGUCUCCUGGC